UUUUGUGCAGGGUCGGUUCCUUCUAGUUUCAAAACCCGACCCGGAUAAUGCUGCGGCCACUGCUCGUUGGUUGGUUUCUCAGAAUUCAUGGGGAACCUUGAGCACCAUCUCAAGCGAUUUUGGUGGAGCGCCUUUUGGGAAUGUGGUUUCGUUUAGUGACGGGCCACCCAGCAAGGGUCAAGGCACACCAUAUUUCUACUUAACUACUCUUGACCCAACUGCAAAGUAUGCAAUCUCUGAUGAGAGGGCUUCAUUUACACUCAGUGAGUACCCUAUUGGAACUUGUGGCAAGAUAGAUCCAGAAAACCCGACUUGCGCG
RNAcentral lists this unclassified non-coding RNA (319 nucleotides) under Hevea brasiliensis (rubber tree). Lineage: Eukaryota; Viridiplantae; Streptophyta; Magnoliopsida; Malpighiales; Euphorbiaceae. The record is from RNAcentral.